Molecule: long non-coding RNA, 765 nt
Organism: Dendroctonus ponderosae (mountain pine beetle)
Lineage: Eukaryota; Metazoa; Arthropoda; Insecta; Coleoptera; Curculionidae
Exons: 3
Source: RefSeq, a predicted model, not a curated record
ACCUAAUUUACUAUUCGUUGUAGAUUUGUGAGAACAGAUGCAGCAAUAAUUCGUCCGUCUAUGGUUUGCAGCAAAUUUAUUUUACAUUAGACACACACGCAUUGUUUAAAAUGCCACAAACCUAGAAAUAUCAUGCUUCUACAAGAGCCGCUAUUGGAGGACCCUGCCGACAAAAAUAUUUCUUCAGAAGUAACAUGCCAUUUCAUUUAGUUAUUCAGAACUAAUGAACCAUCAUCAGCAGCUGAAAAAGACAACUAAUUUUUUGAUCUUUUUGAUCAAUUGGGAGCCUGCCAAAUUUUCAGAAAUUUUGCAUUGAUUUAUUGUCAGCCCUGUAGAAACUUUAUCUGAACGCCUGAAUUUUGCAAAAACACGGAAGGCGAGAAAAAUGAUUGGGCUAGACAUUACUUCAAACAGACAUUCAUUUGCUCGCACAGAUCAGAACGUAUACUGCCAAAGUAGGAAAAAUUAGCCCGUUUAACGCUUAUUUUGUUCCACAAUUUAUAAAUGAAUUAGCUUGAGGUGCAAUAAUCAAGCAUUAAAUAUAAAAAAAAUAAAUAACGUAGGACUUGUACUUACCGCUCAGCAUUAACAACAGCUUAGUUCUGGAUGACAUGUUAUAUAAAUGCACUAGUACAACACGGGUGUCUUUCACGAGUUUUUAAUAAGAUAUAAAAAAUAUUCUUUCUUUCAAUUUCAACAGUUUCUGUCUUUCCCAUCUAUUGACGGGAUCCCGAAAAAUCAGUCAUUAUAGCAUUUGGGAUGUUG